GGUCUUUUUUUAACAGACUUAUUCUUGUUUAAAUUGGCCUUUUUAUAUAAUGUUGCCUCUUGCUUAAAUUUGACUCUUUAUCUAAAGUUCUUUUUAUUCUUCUUUUUAUUUAAACUUGUCUUUUUUAUUUAAAAUGUACUUUUUUAGGUGCCUUCCCCUUCAGAGCCAUUGUAUAUGUGUGUUGCCUGUUUGUGUCUCGCUGUCUUGUUCUGAGUAUUACUGUCUGUCUCUUGACUCUAUAUGCUUUAUUCUGAAGAUUCCAAGCUUAUGGAGGAAAAGUUCCAAAGUUUCAAGCUGGUGCUGGCAGGGAUUAUUAUACCAGUAUAAUUGGUUUCAGGGCCACCACAUAGUCUCACUUGCUGCCUCUGAAUCUAUGGACAUCCUGUGACACUCUGGCAAGUGCCCCCAGGCAAGGGCAAGAGGGAAGGAACGAGCAGUGAAACAACCAUGUCUGAAGGCAUGUAUGAGGGGGGCAGCCAGCACUGUAGGGAGAGCUCUCCCCAAACUUUGUAGCCUGGGCCGUUUGGAUGAUGAGGAGGAGGAGUACGAUAAAGGUUAUGAGGAAUUUGAGCAGAUGCUGGAACAGGCUCAGCUUGUAGAGGGUCCUUGCUCAGACUUCAUGGGUUGCUGUAUCAGCUCAGGCAAUAGGAUGGCAUAGCUUUGCCUGUCACAUAUUUUCAGACAGUCAGUCGGAUGAGCAUUUGUCAGCAUUUAUCAUCUUAUAUCAUCAGUUUGAAUCACCUCACACAUUACUGAGUUCAUCUCCAACACUGAGAUCAUCAACAAAGGAAAAUAAGAGAAAUUGGCCUUACAUGAUUUUUCUCAGAGAUGUUUAUAUUCAUCCCACACAAUAAUGGCCUUAUACACUAUGUUAUACCUCAGGACAUAUUGGCACACACAUUCUAUGUGGGGCAUGUAGCAAAUAAGAUGUGCAGUGGGUAAUACAGAUCUAUAAGGUUGAUUGAGGUUGUAUAUAGGUUGAUUGAAAGAUGUAUAAGAUAAAGAAUGUGUAAGGCACAUAGUGUAUACUUUUCUGUGAAUGAAGCCAUGGACUAUGUAAGCAGAACAGCCUAGAAGAAAGAAUUAAAGAUAUAUAUAUAUAUAUAUAUAUAUAUAUAUAUAUAUAUAUAUAAUUCUUUCUUUAAUUCAAUUUUAGUAAUACUUUAAAUUAUUUGUUUAUCACAGAGAGACGUAAAAUGUAUUCGAUUAUUUAAUAAAUGUAAAUUUAAGAGCUGCAGAGACUACUAAUUUUCAUUAAUUCACUAAUUGUAUAUUUUAAGCCAGUUUUGACAUUUGAUUUAUCCCAUAUGAAUUAUAAUAAUUGAAAUCAGCAUGAAUGUGUUAAAAUAUGAAUAUGAUACAGAGAGGAUGAUUUUUUUCAAGUUAAACUAAGGUUUUGAAAUUACUUGAAACUAGUGUUUCACACUUCUUUAUAACAUGUUAAAAAGAGAAAUCACUAUGCAUUCAAUAACAUCAAUACUGUUUGGCAUAGUGAGAAUACAACAAUGCUCCUAUAUUGUUAAAGCCACAUUGGUAAAUCUUUAAAGUUUAAAAAAAGUUGGUAAAAUUUAGUUUAAUUCUUGAUUGUACUCUUUGAUUUUGUUUUUCUUUUCUACACUUUGUCUGUAUGUAUGUAUGUAUUUGUGUGUAUAUGUAAGUAUAACGAAAAAUGAGAAUGGUAUUGUUCCUAUGUGACAGGAAGUAUGUUUUAUUUAUCAAUAAAAAUAUUUUGGAGAAAAAAAAAUUGAAUUCACAGAGUAAAAAUAUUAAAAGAUAUUCUUUAAUUCUGUAAUUGUCUCAACAUAGGCAUAUAGGCCUAUGUUUAUAUUACAUUUUUACAAGAUACCAGGUUCCAUAGUAUAUUUGGAAAUUUUUCAUAUGAAGGCUUUUCCCAAGACAUCAUACAACACCUACAUUACCAAAUAUAUCACAGUCACAGCUUGCUUUUUCUUCUUAAAAAUGUCUAUUCUUUCCAGUUCCAUAAAAUGGAGGGGGGGCACUGAAAUGGUAUUUGUUUUAUGGACAAAACAUGACAAUAAACUUCAGUUCAUGGACGCAUGUAUCUAAUGGUUGGUCUGAGUUUUUCCCAGUGUAAAGGCUCAAUUAUUUGGCCGCUGAUUCACUGUUGCUCAUAUCAAAGACGCUAUUUUUCCAAACCAAAGAUACAAAUUCUUCGUCUGAGUCUUUCUCCCUGUUUUAAUUUUUUUUUGUUUUUUUUUUUUACCCUGAACAGGGUAACAGCAAGUUUGUGGAGUAUAAAUGUUAACUUCUUUAUAUACUUUCUUCAAAGAAACCAAGUCAAAGUUUUUGAUCAUUGUUCUUCCAGUUAUUAAUCAUUAUGAAACAAGAUAUUUUAUUCACAUUUCUCACACUGUCCAUUUAAACCUUGUCAGGCUUUCACUGUUUAACCAUAUUAGUAGUGUUUAAAACAGCAUGUUAGGUUAUUGAUUAAUUUUUUUUAAAAAAUAGCCAGCAUGAUCUCAUCCAUUGUCUAUGCAUGUACUUAAGGUACUUACAUACUUAAUGUAUGCAGGAAAAUGUGUAAAGGAUUCUUUGUCUUUAUAAAAAAAUAUAUCUGUACAACCGCAAAACAAAUGACGCGAAUGAAUAAAACUUAUGCAUGUUAGUCCAGUGUAAAUAUUUUACAUAAUUGUAACCAUUGAUAUGAAUUUGUGAGAUUUGAUUGAUUGCUUGCUAUUGACUUACUAGUGAGGGGCCAUGUCAUACCAUGGCAAUCAUCCUUUUUUUCCUCUUGUGUGAAUGUAUUUAAAUGCACGUGUCUUUGGGGGUGAGGGGAGAAAAGAAGGGUGGUAGCUGGUGUCUAAAUCUUGUAAAAUGGUUUUCCUAAUAUGGGCUGUCUCUCCUGAGACUCCUCCUCUUCCCUAUAAGUGGGCAGGACUCUAUCCUCUUAUUCAGCCAGUGAUGACACAGCUACGACUCACUUCCCCAUUAAUUGGCUGAAACCAGUUCUUACAGGAACUGUCGGUGAUAAAUGUGAGAGUUCUCAGAAAUCAUUCAUUUCUUCCUUCUUCACAGCUAAGGGACACUCCAGGGCAGUGUGGAUGUUUCUUUGUGUUAUCAUUUCUUAAGGACCUCAAUUUUUAGAUCAUUUAUAUGUAUUUUUGUGAUUCUCUCUUGUUAUUAUUUUUCUUCAUUGUUUUUUUUUUGUUUGUUUGUUUUUUUUUAAAUCUGGUAACAGUGUUCUGUCUGUGGUAAAGGUUUUAUAUUGCUUAGCCCUCCUUCUGGGAGAAGUAGAGAUAGAAGAAGGUAACCUUUAGCGUGGAUGAGUAAAAUUGGUGACCUACUUCCCCCCUUUCUUGUCUUCUUAAGCUCUGUUACGCAGUUUGUUGCCUCUCUCCUGAAGACGAACCUUGAGGUGUUGGAGCAACACCGGCAGUGAGUAUCACAACUUUUUUUCUCUAUCUGUUCUACCGUUCUUCUUCUAUCACUGUUUGCUAAUGCAUUGUACAUGCAUAAUUUAUUAGCUAAUUGUAGUGUUGCGGUGGGUUGGUGCUGUCAUUCAUGGUGGAAGAGUGUGGUGUGGCAGAGUUCAUUGUGUGUCUAGGGUUAAAAUGGAGUGGUGACUGUGGCCUGUUCAGGGUCUGGCUCCUGAGGGAUGCUGAGUCAUGCUCAGCAGGUGGAGCUGCUAUGACUGAAGUGUACACUCCCCCACGUCACUCACAACCCCCACCCUCCAUCCCCCUUCCCCUUAGCAAGCGAACCCUGUUGAACUCGAUGCAGGCUGAUCGAGACAGGAGGGGCCCCCAGGGGCUGAGAGGGUGGGGGAAUUCUACUCCCAAUUCCUGCCACUAACAAUCUCUCACAACUCUGUAGAAGCUGUGGAAACAAAGACAUUACACCUUUUAGCUCACUGCUCUUCUAGGUUGGCCUGCUUUUGACUACUUCCGUUUUUUGUUUUUUUGUUUUUCACCUGAAUCGAUUUCUUUCUUGUAACUUAAUCUUCCUGGUUUGAAAAGCUUUGGAGCAAAAAGCUAUUUAACUGGUAAUAAGAAAUACCGGCUUGCAUCAGAUGCAUCUAGAAGGAAAAGGGGAUGGUGAAAAUAUUGAACAUUAAAUGAGAUUUUAAAUUACUCUGUUCCUUAAGGAUUGUUUGUUUGUGUGUGUGUGUGUGUGUGUGUGUGUGUGUGUGUGUGUGUGUGUGUGUUCUCUCUCCAUUGUGCAGGAUGAAAACUCGCUCUCCUGGGUGUUUCAGAAGGUGGUGACCAUCUUGUGUGUGUGUGUGUGAGUGUGAAUGAGUGGCAGAGAAAUAUUCAGGGGGUAAAAUUAAAAACUUUGUGUGGGUGUAGUUGUGUGUCAAAAGAGUGAGAAUGAAAUUUUCACCAGGUUGUUUCACUCACAUACUACCUGAGCCUGUCUGUAUUUCUCAAAUUAAAAAAAAAAAGAAGAAGAAGAAUUUUUGAGUCUCUUUGUUCUCCUUUGUACCUGUGAAAAGUAAUUGGCUUCUUACAGAGUUUAAUAUAGUAAAUGGGGCUGGAGAGAUGUAAGGUUGCAGCAUUGUGUUUUGGCAGAACAGCUUUAUUUAAAAGUGCAGGAACUUAUUGACCAUUGAGGCCUUCAGAUUAUGACAUCUAGAUAUAUUUUAUUCUCAAUAAAUCAUACAUAUAUCUCAAUAAAUAAGUCAUCAUUUACAUUUGGGUUAUGAAAUAGUGUUGGUGCUAAACACUGAAACUGUAAUAAAUAUCAGUGAAUCAUACUGUAGUUUCCAGUAGUUACUGUUUAAUUUCCAUAGACUGAGAAACAACUUGUUAGUCAGACCAGGGCUUCACAAUCCUGGUAAUAUGUGCAAUCAUAUGAACAUGAAUUUUUCAGAGAUUGUGGAUGAGUGGAUGGAGGUUCACUAUUCUUGAGCAGUUCACCUUUUUGUGUAUGUUUUAUCUGACUGAGAUCACAACUGUGCUUAUAUUGACAGCAGAAUACUGACUGUUGUUGGGCUGUCACUGUUUAUAUUAAUGAGACUGGCUGAUAGUAUGUCUGACAUUGUGACUACUGUUUUGUGAUAUUGAGGGUUUCAAAUUUAGGUGUAUGUUGUAUAUCUUAUAGAGAUCUUCUCUAAAAUACUCCCUGAUCAGAACCGUGCUUAUAUUGGAAGCAGAAUACUGAUUAUUGAUGGGCUCUCACUGCUUAUGUUAAUGAGACUGGCUAAUAAUAUGUCUGAUAUUGUGACUACUUUUUUUAUGUUUUUCUUUAGGUAAUGCAAUUCAUUCAGAAGUUUCUAAACAAUGUUAAAGAUUUUUGUGUUCUUUUAUGCCUGGUCUUGGCACUCAUAAUAAGGUAUAAUGGGUGCCAAGACCCAAUAUUAAUUAAUGCAAUAUGAUGUAAUUUAUUUUUUGUUCCUUGAUUAUACAAAAGCUUCUUUGCCUCUUUUUUCAUUUUGUAAUUUUUUUUUAGAACUGCUUGUGAAAUGUUUUCUCCCUCAUCUGUGCUUUUUUGUAACACUGCCCUGGUAUGCUAGCCUGGAAGCUUCAGGCAUAUAAAAAAAAAUGGAACAGUGUGGGGUUUCUUUGCUGUUACCUUAGCUGAACCCUGGGCUGAACUCAAUGCACUGUACUGCUGGCAGGAAGGAUAUGAAGAAGAGAGAGAAAGGGGGAUACAAGCAAGAGGCUAAGCAUGUUCAGCUAGCGGACAUGCUCGUCAGUGAAUGGGAAGCACAUUUUGAACCGCUAUAACAGGACAUAUUUGGUUACAAAAUAACAGAAUAUGGCCUCCAACAACCACCUCCUACCAUUCCUCUUUGUCUAUGGUAAGUGUUCUUUUCUUUCCUUUCCAUUUUAUUCUUCAUGUGUGGAUCAGGCAUUUCCAUCCAUCUCUCCCAGUGUGUCAG
Ictalurus punctatus (channel catfish) is the source of this 5842-nucleotide long non-coding RNA. The record is from Ensembl. Lineage: Eukaryota; Metazoa; Chordata; Actinopteri; Siluriformes; Ictaluridae.